Molecule: ribosomal RNA, 472 nt
Filed under: Thermoanaerobaculaceae bacterium
Lineage: Bacteria; Pseudomonadati; Acidobacteriota; Thermoanaerobaculia; Thermoanaerobaculales; Thermoanaerobaculaceae
Description: bacterial SSU rRNA
Rfam family: Bacterial small subunit ribosomal RNA
Source: RNAcentral
AAUCGGAGAGUUUGAUCCUGGCUCAGAACGAACGCUGGCGGCGUGCCUAACACAUGCAAGUCGAACGGUGAAAAUGAGGCUUCGGCCGAAACACGAGUGGCGCACGGGUGAGUAAUACAUAGGUAAUCUGCCCUCGAGUGGGGGAUAACGUUCCGAAAGGAGCGCUAAUACCGCAUAACCCGCAUUGAGCACAAGCUCUUUGCGGCAAAGAUGGCCUCUGCUUGCAAGCUAUCGCUUAAGGAGGAGCCUGUGUCCCAUUAGGUAGUUGGUGAGGUAACGGCUCACCAAGCCUGCGAUGGGUAGCCGGCCUGAGAGGGUGAUCGGCCACACUGGCACUGAGAUACGGGCCAGACUCCUACGGGAGGCAGCAGUGAGGAAUUUUGGGCAAUGGGCGAAAGCCUGACCCAGCGACGCCGCGUGGGCGAUGAAGGUCUUCGGAUUGUAAAGCCCUGUGAGUUGGGAAGAAGGGGUU